AACUUUUGACGGUGGAUCUCUUGGCUCACGCAUCGAUGAAGAACGCAGCCAGCUGCGAUAAGUAGUGUGAAUUGCAGAAUUCAGUGAAUCAUCGAAUCUUUGAACGCAAAUGGCGCUCUUGGGUUCUCCCAGGAGCAUGUCUGUCUGAGUGUCGGAUCCACAUCCAUC
RNAcentral lists this ribosomal RNA (168 nucleotides) under Favites flexuosa. RNAcentral's name for it is "5.8S ribosomal RNA". It matches the Rfam family "5.8S ribosomal RNA". From Rfam's summary of the family: 5.8S ribosomal RNA (5.8S rRNA) is a component of the large subunit of the eukaryotic ribosome. It is transcribed by RNA polymerase I as part of the 45S precursor that also contains 18S and 28S rRNA. Lineage: Eukaryota; Metazoa; Cnidaria; Anthozoa; Scleractinia; Merulinidae. The record is from RNAcentral.